This is a long non-coding RNA of Marmota monax (woodchuck), 760 nucleotides long. RefSeq lists it as uncharacterized. The record is from RefSeq and is a predicted model, not a curated record. The transcript is spliced from 4 exons. NCBI's taxonomy places the organism in Eukaryota, Metazoa, Chordata, Mammalia, Rodentia, Sciuridae.
UCUGGUGGCCUCUGUCAGGAGGAAGGAAGGGAAGAGGCCUCAGAGGGUCUCAGUCCACUCAAGAAUGACAGGAAGCUGACGGCCAGCUCAGGAGAGGAUAGGGUCCCACGAGACUUGGGUUCAAGUGCUACUUGGCCUCCAACUCCCUGGGUGACCUUGGGCAAGAUCUUCAGUAGCAAGAUAAGAGCUUCACUCCCAUAGUGAGAGUUAUGAGCCUGAUGACCUGAGCUAUCAUGUGCUAUGGAAGAGAUCUAGAAGUAUCUACAUGUCUGUGGCAAGCAGAGAAGAUGGCCAAGAGUUAAGAAUUGUCAGGCCAACCCCAAGGUCACCAUGCUACCACCAACCACACGCUCUGAUUCAUGGUACUACUUGUGCCCAUGGACUGCUGAGUCACGGAACUACUCAUUCAAGGACUGCUGAGUCAUGGCUCUACUCACUAGGAUCUCUACUGCCUAUCAGGUUUCUCCUGAAUCAGCUUGUGUUGAGAGCCACAGCCAAAGGGGCCCCAGCAAACUUCCAGCUGCCAGCAAACUUCCAGCUGCUGGCUGAUGAUUGGCUCACAGCGGCCCCAGCAACAUCUAGCUGAUUGGCUCCUCUGCGGUGAUGCUCAUUGGACUGUUUCCCUGCCCUUUCAGACCACGGAGCUGCUCAUUGGGGGACUUUUUUGGCUCCGCCCACGUGACCCAGCCAAUCGGCCUCAAGAGCAGGAGGAUUGUGGGAGGUGGAGAGAAGCUUGUGUGGGAGAGAGAGGCUUGGGGAA